AUGAACGCUAGCGGCAGGCUUAACACAUGCAAGUCGAGGGGUAUAGUUCUUCGGAACUAGAGACCGGCGCACGGGUGCGUAACGCGUAUGCAAUCUACCUUUUACAGCGGGAUAGCCCAGAGAAAUUUGGAUUAAUACCUCAUAGUAUGAUACAAUCGCAUGAUUGAAUCAUUAAAGUCACAACGGUAAAAGAUGAGCAUGCGUCCCAUUAGCUAGUUGGUAAGGUAACGGCUUACCAAGGCAACGAUGGGUAGGGGUCCUGAGAGGGAGAUCCCCCACACUGGUACUGAGACACGGACCAGACUCCUACGGGAGGCAGCAGUGAGGAAUAUUGGACAAUGGGCGCAAGCCUGAUCCAGCCAUGCCGCGUGCAGGAUGACGGUCCUAUGGAUUGUAAACUGCUUUUGUACAGGAAGAACACUCCCUCGUGAGGGAGCUUGACGGUACUGUAAGAAUAACGAUCGGCUAACUCCGUGCCAGCAGCCGCGGUAAUACGGAGGAUCCAAGCGUUAUCCGGAAUCAUUGGGUUUUAAGGGUCCGUAGGCGGUCUUAUAAGUCAGUGGUGAAAUCUCCCCGCUCAACGGGGAAACGGCCAUUGAUACUGUAGGACUUGAAUUAUUAGGAAGUAACUAGAAUAUGUAGUGUAGCGGUGAAAUGCUUAGAGAUUACAUGGAAUACCAAUUGCGAAGGCAGGUUACUACUAAUGGAUUGACGCUGAUGGACGAAAGCGUGGGUAGCGAACAGGAUUAGAUACCCUGGUAGUCCACGCCGUAAACGAUGGAUACUAGCUGUUGGGCGCAAGUUCAGUGGCUAAGCGAAAGUGAUAAGUAUCCCACCUGGGGGAGUACGUUCGCAAGAAUGAAACUCAAAGGAAUUGACGGGGGCCCGCACAAGCGGUGGAGCAUGUGGUUUAAUUCGAUGAUACGCGAGGAACCUUACCAAGGCUUAAAUGUAGAUUGACCGUUUUGGAAACAGAACUUUCGCAAGACAAUUUACAAGGUGCUGCAUGGUUGUCGUCAGCUCGUGCCGUGAGGUGUCAGGUUAAGUCCUAUAACGAGCGCAACCCCUGUUGUUAGUUGCCAGCGAGUCAAGUCGGGAACUCUAACAAGACUGCCAGUGUAAACUGUGAGGAAGGUGGGGAUGACGUCAAAUCAUCACGGCCCUUACGCCUUGGGCUACACACGUGCUACAAUGGCCGGUACAGAGAGCAGCCACUACGUGAGUAGGAGCGAAUCUAUAAAACCGGUCACAGUUUCGGAUCGGAGUCUGCAACUCGACUCCGUGAAG
Molecule: ribosomal RNA, 1287 nt
Filed under: uncultured Flavobacterium sp.
Lineage: Bacteria; Pseudomonadati; Bacteroidota; Flavobacteriia; Flavobacteriales; Flavobacteriaceae
Description: bacterial SSU rRNA
Rfam family: Bacterial small subunit ribosomal RNA
Source: RNAcentral